GAUGAACGCUGGCGGCGUGCCUAAUACAUGCCAGUCGAGCGAACAGACGAGGAGCUUGCUCCUCUGACGUUAGCGGCGGACGGGUGAGUAACACGUGGAUAACCUACCUAUAAGACUGGGAUAACUUCGGGAAACCGGAGCUAAUACCGGAUAAUAUAUUGAACCGCAUGGUUCAAUAGUGAAAGACGGUUUUGCUGUCACUUAUAGAUGGAUCCGCGCCGCAUUAGCUAGUUGGUAAGGUAACGGCUUACCAAGGCAACGAUGCGUAGCCGACCUGAGAGGGUGAUCGGCCACACUGGAACGGAGACACGGUCCAGACUCCUACGGGAGGCAGCAGUAGGGAAUCUUCCGCAAUGGGCGAAAGCCUGACGGAGCAACGCCGCGUGAGUGAUGAAGGUCUUCGGAUCGUAAAACUCUGUUAUUAGGGAAGAACAAAUGUGUAAGUAACUAUGCACGUCCUGACGGUACCUAAUCAGAAAGCCACGGCUAACUACGUG
RNAcentral lists this ribosomal RNA (497 nucleotides) under uncultured bacterium. RNAcentral's name for it is "partial 16S ribosomal RNA". It matches the Rfam family "Bacterial small subunit ribosomal RNA", at positions 28 to 507 of the family's 1533-position model. The record is from RNAcentral.